UAUGUAUUUCCUGAAACACAACAUUCAAUUAUAUCAGUGUUAAGACAUCGUCUUUUAAUUUUCACUUCCUGUAUUACACUUAACAGUUACUGUCUGUGUGUUCUUGCUCAAGACCACUGGUAGGUUCAGAAAUAGAACACGGUACCUAGGUCAUAAUGGAAGUUUACCACGUUGACAAAGCCCUUUGACAGAUUGCAGGAAAUAAAAGUCAACCAAACAGGAAGUAGGUAGAGUAGACCAGAGCAGCCGGAAAUAUUUGGGCCUAUCACAAGAUUAGUCUAUUUACAGAACAAAUAUGUACCAAACAAGAUAUAAAACUGAAAUGUUUAAUUUGUGAACACUUAAAAAGAGAUCAAGAAAGAAGGGAAAACAAACCAGGAAGUAAAGGGGAGAAAGAAAUAAUGUCUUUCACUGGAAUAAAUUAUUGCAUAAAAAAAAAGUCUCUUGUCCAGAUAGCAGCAGUUUUAAAACACUUAUGCAAAUUCCCUGGCCCUCCUCCCAUGAAGGGGUGAAUUCGCUGCCCCUCCCAUUGAUCUGGACCAGAUCUUAGUGACUGCUUGACCAUCAGGGUUUGGCAGACGUGACACUGUGUAACUUUCCUGGCUAGGUCAUAACAGUUAAUGUAGAUGCUCCCUGGUUGUCUGGACGCUGUGUUGGAGCCUUGAGCCACUGUGUAAGAAGCACUGCCACCCUGAUACCACCAUACUGUGAGGAAGCACUGAUUAACCCACAAAAAUUGACCACAGGGAAAGGCACUGAGAUGGAAAGAAACACCCAGCCGACUGGAGCUCUUUCCAACAUCUCCUGUCUCUGCAACUGCGUGAGAGACCCCAAGCCAGGCCACCCACUGGGACCCCUCUUGAACCCUGCUCCUACAGAAACCACAGCAGAUGAUGGGGUGGUUUGUCAGGCAGUAAUGGACAACUGGAACAAUGGAGCAGAUGAUUUAAAUGUUAGGGCUCUUAAUAAGUAGGGAAAGAACUCAGGCACCCAAUAGAAGUCAUCAUAACUCGUUACCAUGACAAGCAGGAUGAAGUGGUAGUUUCUAGUCAGAGGAUCUGUUACCAAGAAUCAAAGUAAUUAACUGAUAUUCAUAUUACCAACAAACUAUAACAGGUAUUUGGGCUGAUUGAUGAUACAUCAACCUCAGCAACUCAAAAGCCACAAGCUGGGAAGGUUAGAACCGCUCUGUGCUGGGUGCCAGCUUGCUGGCCUGGGGAUAUUCAUCAUUGAACAGCUCUGAAAGGGAGACACAGCCAGUGGAUCGUAUCUGUGGGCUGAAUUUCAAGAUGGGAAGGAUGGACAUCAGAGAAGUCAAGGCUUCCUAAGGCUCACAUUUCUGUGGAAAAAGCGCAGAAAAUAUAAAAUACGGGCCUCAUGUGGCCUUCGAACCACCUGCCCAACGCUUUCUGGCCUGCAUGCUCUCCACAUGGCUGGCUCCCACUGCUCGGCUCUGUGAAGCAGAACUUGAGCCUCUAGUGACUGCUUGUCCAGAUCUAAAGGUGUUUCCUGAGAGACGAUUCGGCCUUGCAUGCAGGUACUUCUGCAGACCACAGCAGCGCCCCAGAGAUGUGACUCCCUCUCCCUGCACGUACACAGGGCUGGCUCCUAAGCGACACAUCAAAUACCAGCUCUACUGCCCAUGCCCGAUACCAAGUGAGAUAAUGUGUGUUCAACCCUUACGUUGCUGCACAGAGAAAAUGUCAAUAAA
Oryctolagus cuniculus (rabbit) is the source of this 1711-nucleotide non-coding RNA. Lineage: Eukaryota; Metazoa; Chordata; Mammalia; Lagomorpha; Leporidae. The record is from RefSeq and is a predicted model, not a curated record.